This 253-nucleotide ribosomal RNA is filed under the name uncultured bacterium. RNAcentral describes it as "partial 16S ribosomal RNA". It matches the Rfam family "Bacterial small subunit ribosomal RNA", at positions 524 to 776 of the family's 1533-position model. The record is from RNAcentral.
UACAGAGGGGGCAAGCGUUGUUCGGAAUUACUGGGCGUAAAGGGCGCGUAGGCGGCCUGUUAAGUCGAACGUGAAAUCCCCGGGCUCAACCCGGGAACUGCAUCCGAUACUGGCUGGCUUGAAUCCGGGAGAGGGAUGCGGAAUUCCAGGUGUAGCGGUGAAAUGCGUAGAUAUCUGGAGGAACACCGGUGGCGAAGGCGGCGUUCUGGACUGCAACUGACACUGAGAAACGAAAGCCAGGGGAGCAAACGGG